Molecule: non-coding RNA, 22 nt
Filed under: Mus musculus (house mouse)
Lineage: Eukaryota; Metazoa; Chordata; Mammalia; Rodentia; Muridae
Source: RNAcentral
UAGGGCUCACUGGACUUUUGAC